UGCCUGGACGGAUAAUAUUCUUUAUUAGUAUACCAAGGCCCCCAUAAAAUCUUGAAUUAGAGGACUGUACUCUACAAACUGGGAAAAAAUUGUAUCCCUCAACACUAAUAGGGGUGUUAUAUCCCAAAUGUGUUUCUGUCAAUAGUAUAAUAUCAUAAUGAAUGAUCUGUUUUAGAAAUGAGGGGUCAUGUAAUUUAUUGUAGGAUUUAGAAAUUAAGCCCCCAACAUUCCAA
RNAcentral lists this long non-coding RNA (233 nucleotides) under Mytilus galloprovincialis (Mediterranean mussel). Lineage: Eukaryota; Metazoa; Mollusca; Bivalvia; Mytilida; Mytilidae. The record is from RNAcentral.